GACGAACCGUGCGAACGUUGUUCGGAAUCACUGGGCUUAAAGGGCGCGUAGGCGGGCUCUCAAGUCAGGGGUGAAAUCCCACGGCUCAACCGUGGAAGUGCCCUUGAUACUGGUGGCCUCGAGGGAGGCAGGGGCGUGCGGAACUUUGGGUGGAGCGGUGAAAUGCGUAGAGAUGGGGGAGAACACUCGUGGCGAAGGCGGCCAGCUAGACCAGUUCUGACACUGAGGCGCGACAGCGUGGGGAGCAAACAGG
RNAcentral lists this ribosomal RNA (253 nucleotides) under uncultured bacterium. Its description in RNAcentral is "partial 16S ribosomal RNA". It matches the Rfam family "Bacterial small subunit ribosomal RNA", at positions 524 to 776 of the family's 1533-position model. The record is from RNAcentral.